UAGAGUUUGAUCCUGGCUCAGAGUGAACGCUGGCGGCGUGCUUAACACAUGCAAGUCGAACGAGUUUCGGCAGAGUAUCGCCGGGACGAGUGGCAGACGGGUGAGUAACACAUGGGUAACCUACCCUUGAGAGGAAAAUAACUCCGAGAAAUCGGAGCUAAUGUUCCAUAAGACCACAACCUUUCCUAAGAAAGGAAGGGGUCAAAGCUCCGCAAGGGGCGCUCGGGGAUGAGCCUGUGUCCUAUCAGCUAGUUGGUGAGGUAACGGCCCACCAAGGCGAAGACGGGUAGCCGGCCUGAAAGGGUGAUCGGCCACACUGGAACUGAGACACGGUCCAGACUCCUACGGGAGGCAGCAGUGGGGAAUUUUGGACAAUGGGGGCAACCCUGAUCCAGCAACGCCGCGUGAAGGAUGAAGGUCUUCGGAUUGUAAACUUCUUUUGCAGGGGACGAAUCGCGCCGUGAAUAACGGCGAAUGACGGUACCCUGCGAAUAAGCCACGGCUAACUACGUGCCAGCAGCCGCGGUAAUACGUAGGUGGCAAGCGUUACUCGGAAUUACUAGGCGUAAAGCGCAGGUAGGUGGUUGGGUAAGUCCGUAAUGAAAUCUCCCGGCUUAACUGGGAGGGGCUUGCGGAUACUGCCCGACUCGAGUGUGGGAGAGGUAACUGGAAUUCCUGGUGUAGCGGUGAAAUGCGUAGAUAUCAGGAGGAACACCUAUGGCGAAAGCAGGUUACUGGCCCAAUACUGACGCUGAGCUGCGAAAGCUAGGGGAGCAAACAGGAUUAGAUACCCUGGUAGUCCUAGCCAUAAACGAUGCAGACCAGACGUGGGGGGUAUCGACCCCCUCUGCGUCGACCCUAACGGAUUAAGUCUGCCGCCUGGGGAGUACGGCCGCAAGGUUGAAACUCAAAGGAAUUGACGGGGACCCGCACAAGCGGUGGAGUAUGUGGUUUAAUUCGACGCAACACGAAAAACCUUACCUGGGCUCGAACGACUAGAAGUAGAAUUGAUGAAAGUCGAGACGACCUGUAAAGUCAGGAAUUAGCCGAGGUGCUGCAUGGUUGUCGUCAGCUCGUGUCGUGAGAUGUUGGGUUAAGUCCCGCAACGAGCGCAACCCCCAUCUCCUGUUGCCAACCCGCAAGGGCGCACUCUGGAGAAACUGCCCACGAUGAGUGGGAGGAAGGUGGGGACGACGUCAAAUCACCAUGGCCCUUAUGUCCAGGGCUACACACGUACUACAAUGGCCGGAACAACGGGACGCAAAGCAGCAAUGCCGAGCCAAUCCUUAUAAAACCGGCCCCAGUUCAGAUUGUGGGCUGCAACCCGUCCACAUGAAGGUGGAAUCGCUAGUAAUCGCGAAUCAGAAGGUCGCGGUGAAUACGUUCCCGGGUCUUGUACACACCGCCCGUCACACCACGAAAGCCCGCUGCAACAGAAGUGCGCUCUCUAGAGCGCCCGAAGUUGUGGUUGGUGAUUGGGGGAAGUCGAACAAGGUACCAAGGCGAUCGCGCGCAUA
This 1517-nucleotide ribosomal RNA is filed under the name uncultured bacterium. Its description in RNAcentral is "bacterial SSU rRNA". It matches the Rfam family "Bacterial small subunit ribosomal RNA". The record is from RNAcentral.